CCUACGGGAGGCAGCAGUGGGGAAUAUUGCACAAUGGGCGGAAGCCUGAUGCAGCGACGCCGCGUGAGGGAUGAAGGCCUUCGGGUUGUAAACCUCUUUCAGCAGGGACGAAGCGUGAGUGACGGUACCUGCAGAAGAAGCACCGGCUAACUACGUGCCAGCAGCCGCGGUAAUACGUAGGGUGCGAGCGUUGUCCGGAAUUACUGGGCGUAAAGAGUUCGUAGGCGGUUUGUCGCGUCGUUUGUGAAAACCCGGGGCUCAACUUCGGGCUUGCAGGCGAUACGGGCAGACUUGAGUGUUUCAGGGGAGACUGGAAUUCCUGGUGUAGCGGUGAAAUGCGCAGAUAUCAGGAGGAACACCGGUGGCGAAGGCGGGUCUCUGGGAAACAACUGACGCUGAGGAACGAAAGCGUGGGUAGCAAACAGGAUUAGAUACCCUGGUAGUCCACGCCGUAAACGGUGGGCGCUAGGUGUGGGUUCCUUCCACGGGAUCUGUGCCGUAGCUAACGCAUUAAGCGCCCCGCCUGGGGAGUACGGCCGCAAGGCUAAAACUCAAAUGAAUUGACGG
RNAcentral lists this ribosomal RNA (567 nucleotides) under uncultured bacterium. RNAcentral describes it as "bacterial SSU rRNA". It matches the Rfam family "Bacterial small subunit ribosomal RNA", at positions 338 to 916 of the family's 1533-position model. The record is from RNAcentral.